Long non-coding RNA from Oreochromis aureus, 604 nucleotides. RefSeq lists it as uncharacterized. The transcript has 5 exons. The record is from RefSeq and is a predicted model, not a curated record. NCBI's taxonomy places the organism in Eukaryota, Metazoa, Chordata, Actinopteri, Cichliformes, Cichlidae.
GAAAUGGUUAUGACACCUGGCACAGCCAACUCAAGAGAAAGUUCAAAGCAGAACGGGCUCCCCUAAUCAGCAACGAAGAAGUGAACCGGGUUAAAGAAAAGUUUGGACGCACGCAGAAACAUCGGACCACAGAGGAAUCCAGCAGCUCCUGUCUGAAGAGACUGAAGCCCUCUCUCGUAAAUCCUCACACCCUCAGCCUCUAAGAGCUAAGGAUUCGUGCUUUGUGGGGGAAGAUGCAGCCUCCGUUGAUGCUCAUAUCAAGGUGCUAAAUGAUCAGCACAGGACGCUACAUCCUGACACAGCACUGGUGAAAGACCGCAUGACAAAAACCUUUGCAUGGAGACGUCAAGAGGUAGCUGAAGGAAUGUGUACUGUGGACCUAUUAAAGAGAUAUCCAUUCCUGGGGACAUCUGCAGGGUUGUGUGAUGAGGUUGAUUUAAUGCAUCCCUGCCAAGACAACAUCUGUUGCCGCUUUAGCGAGAACUUCACUGCUGUUCUUCAAAAUGUUCUUCAAAUGACCAAGGAUUUGCCACUGAAGAAGGUCUUCAUGGAGGCAAGAGAGAAUGCACUGGCUGAAGACAUUACAGGAAUUGACUUCAAGGGG